ACUCCUGACCUACCCAUGCAUUUCCAGAACUCUACCGGGAUCUCGUCAGGCCCGGUCGCUCGACCCCUGCUCAUCCUACGCAAAGCCCCCAUGACCUCAUCCGCCCUAAUGCGCCUGUAGUUCCCAAGGUCUCUAUGUAGCUCUGAAUGCCCCAACUUCCCUAGCUCUAUGUUACGAUCCUCCUCAUCGUUAAGUAAGUCUCGAAAGUAUGCCUGCCACCUCUGCUUGACUUGAGACUCCCC
This 242-nucleotide long non-coding RNA is filed under the name Nicotiana benthamiana. RNAcentral's name for it is "long non-coding RNA (NBEN_LNC015155)". Lineage: Eukaryota; Viridiplantae; Streptophyta; Magnoliopsida; Solanales; Solanaceae. The record is from RNAcentral.